RNAcentral lists this ribosomal RNA (846 nucleotides) under uncultured bacterium. Its description in RNAcentral is "bacterial SSU rRNA". It matches the Rfam family "Bacterial small subunit ribosomal RNA", at positions 8 to 843 of the family's 1533-position model. The record is from RNAcentral.
AGAGUUUGAUCAUGGCUCAGAUUGAACGCUGGCGGCAUGCCUUACACAUGCAAGUCGAACGGCAGCAUGAUCUAGCUUGCUAGAUUGAUGGCGAGUGGCGAACGGGUGAGUAAUACAUCGGAACGUGCCCUGUAGUGGGGGAUAACUAGUCGAAAGAUUAGCUAAUACCGCAUACGACCUGAGGGUGAAAGUGGGGGACCGCAAGGCCUCAUGCUAUAGGAGCGGCCGAUGUCUGAUUAGCUAGUUGGUGAGGUAAAGGCUCACCAAGGCGACGAUCAGUAGCUGGUCUGAGAGGACGAUCAGCCACACUGGGACUGAGACACGGCCCAGACUCCUACGGGAGGCAGCAGUGGGGAAUUUUGGACAAUGGGCGAAAGCCUGAUCCAGCAAUGGCCGCGUGUGUGAAGAAGGCCUUCGGGUUGUAAAGCACUUUUGUCCGGAAAGAAAUGGCUCUGGUUAAUACCUGGGGUCGAUGACGGUACCGGAAGAAUAAGGACCGGCUAACUACGUGCCAGCAGCCGCGGUAAUACGUAGGGUCCAAGCGUUAAUCGGAAUUACUGGGCGUAAAGCGUGCGCAGGCGGUUGUGCAAGACCGAUGUGAAAUCCCCGAGCUUAACUUGGGAAUUGCAUUGGUGACUGCACGGCUAGAGUGUGUCAGAGGGGGGUAGAAUUCCACGUGUAGCAGUGAAAUGCGUAGAGAUGUGGAGGAAUACCGAUGGCGAAGGCAGCCCCCUGGGAUAACACUGACGCUCAUGCACGAAAGCGUGGGGAGCAAACAGGAUUAGAUACCCUGGUAGUCCACGCCCUAAACGAUGUCAACUAGUUGUUGGGGAUUCAUUUCCUUAG